This 555-nucleotide unclassified non-coding RNA is filed under the name Hevea brasiliensis (rubber tree). The record is from RNAcentral. Lineage: Eukaryota; Viridiplantae; Streptophyta; Magnoliopsida; Malpighiales; Euphorbiaceae.
AUAAGCUUGAGCUUGGCUUGUGUAUUAAACAAGCCUAAAAAUUAGGCUUGAGCUUUGACUCAUUUAGAAAAUGAACUGAGCUAAGUCAAGCUUUUAUCGAGCCAAGCCUCAAAUAGCUCGUGAGCAGCUUGGUUCAUUUAUAGCCUUAAUAAAAGGCCAUCACCUAGUUGCAAUCCUGCCAAAGCUGAUUUCUUGAUAGAGUGGAAUUAGUUUUACCUACACAGAAUUUUUGGGGGAUUUUGUGGAUGCAUUGACCACUGGCCAACUAUUUAAUAUAGGGAAAGCUUUACCAUGCACAAAUUGUUUUGUGGAAUAUAACCUCUUUCAUGUGCAAACUGCAAAGGAAUUGCUUAUUGACUGUUGAGCUGCCUAGCGUCAUUAUUAUGCCAAAUCUUACCGUUGUCUUCCCCUUUUAUUGGUAAAAUUAUUAAAGAGACCUGGAUCCUGCCCUUUAAAUAUUUAAGAGGCCAAUAGCAUGCAGCCUCUUCUACUAUUCUCUAGCUGUGCGAAAUAGAUUUCAGUUCUGAGAUCUGGUGUUUUACAUUUUUGCUUUAG